RNAcentral lists this ribosomal RNA (457 nucleotides) under uncultured bacterium. RNAcentral's name for it is "bacterial SSU rRNA". It matches the Rfam family "Bacterial small subunit ribosomal RNA", at positions 339 to 796 of the family's 1533-position model. The record is from RNAcentral.
CUACGGGAGGCAGCAGUGAGGAAUAUUGGUCAAUGGGCGCAAGCCUGAACCAGCAAUGCCGCGUGUGGGAUGACGGGGCUCUGCCUUGUAAACCACUGUCGGACGGGACGAAAAGGGAUAUCAAUCCCCGGGACGGUACCGUCAAAGGAAGGGUCGGCUAACUACGUGCCAGCAGCCGCGGUAAUACGUAGGACCCGAGCGUUGUCCGGAUUCACUGGGUAUAAAGGGUGCGUAGGCGGCCUUGUGCGUCAGGGGUGAAAUCUCCGGGCUUAACCCGGAGGGUGCCUUUGAUACGGCGAGGCUUGAGUACGAGAGAGGAUGAUGGAAUUCCUGGUGUAGCGGUGAAAUGCGUAGAUAUCAGGAGGAACACCGGUGGCGAAGGCGGUCAUCUGGCUCGUAACUGACGCUGAGGCACGAAAGCGCGGGGAUCAAACAGGAUUAGAUACCCUGGUAGUCC